Molecule: non-coding RNA, 161 nt
Organism: Pelobates cultripes (western spadefoot toad)
Lineage: Eukaryota; Metazoa; Chordata; Amphibia; Anura; Pelobatidae
Source: the annotation of a GenBank genome assembly
CUGUAUACACACACAAAGUAAAGACAGGAGCACUCUCGCGGUUUUCCAUCUUGAUAAAGACCCUAAAGGGUCGAAACAUUAAUGUAUAGGUGGUGAUAAUUUUUGAAAUAUAAUUGGAAAACUGAGAGAGUGCUCCUGUCUUUACUUUGUUUAUAUGCCCU